CGUUGUUCGGAAUUACUGGGCGUAAAGCGCGCGUAGGCGGAUUGGAAAGUUGGGGUGGAAAUCCCAGGGCUCAACCCUGGAACUGCCUUUAAUACUGCUAGUCUAGAGUUCGAGAGAGGUGAGUGGAAUUCCAAGUGUAGAGGUGAAAUUCGUAGAUAUUUGGAGGAACACCAGUGGCGAAGGCGGCUCACUGGCUCGAUACUGACGCUGAGGUACGAAAGUGUGGGGAGCAAACAGGAUUAGAUACCCUGGUAGUCCACACCGUAAACGAUGAAUGCCAGUCGUCGGGUAGUAUACUAUUCGGUGACACACCUAACGGAGUAAGCAUUCCGCCUGGGGAGUACGGUCGCAAGAUUAAAACUCAAAUAAAUUGACGGGGACCCGCACAAGCAGUGGAGCAUGUGGUUUAAUUCGACGCAACGCGAAGAACCUUACCAGCGUUUGACAUGGAAAGUACCGGUUACAGAAUGGUAACCUUCAGUUCGGCUGGCUUUCGCACAGGUGCUGCAUGGCU
Molecule: ribosomal RNA, 514 nt
Filed under: uncultured Nereida sp.
Lineage: Bacteria; Pseudomonadati; Pseudomonadota; Alphaproteobacteria; Rhodobacterales; Roseobacteraceae
Description: bacterial SSU rRNA
Rfam family: Bacterial small subunit ribosomal RNA
Source: RNAcentral